UACGAAGGGGGCUAGCGUUGCUCGGAAUUACUGGGCGUAAAGGGCGCGUAGGCGGCCCGCUAAGUCGAACGUGAAAUCCCCAGGCUCAACCUGGGAACUGCGUCCGAUACUGGCAGGCUUGAAUCCGGGAGAGGGAUGUGGAAUCCCAGGUGUAGCGGUGAAAUGCGUAGAUAUCUGGAGGAACACCGGUGGCGAAGGCGGCAUCCUGGACCGGCAUUGACGCUGAGGCGCGAAAGCUAGGGGAGCAAACGGG
This 253-nucleotide ribosomal RNA is filed under the name uncultured bacterium. Its description in RNAcentral is "partial 16S ribosomal RNA". It matches the Rfam family "Bacterial small subunit ribosomal RNA", at positions 524 to 776 of the family's 1533-position model. The record is from RNAcentral.